GCUCUCGAGGUUGGCAAGUCGUGGCUUGGACCAUCGCACUUCUAUCUUCGCCGACGACGUGGUCACUUUUCUACGUCCUGCGUGGAAGGAAGUGGUGGGGUGCUCGACGAUUCUAUCGGAUUUUGGUGCUGCCUCGGGACUUCGUACUAAUCUCGCCAAGAGUUCCGCCCAUCUCAUCCGCUGCUCUGAUGUACAGAGCCAGCUGGUUGGCGAUUUGCUGCAAUGUGAGGUCCGGGGAUUUCCGUGCGCUUACUUGGGGCUUCCUUUAGGCCUGAGAAAGCAGACGACGGGCCAGCUGAGAUCGUUGGUGGACAAGGUGGAUGGUCGUCUGGCUUCAUGGAAGGCCCCUCUCCUCUCCAAGGGAGCACGGCUGGUGCUGGUCAAGUCCACCCUGACUGCGAUGCUGGUUUACUCGAUGAUGUCCCUCGACCUCCCGGAUAAGAUCAUAAAAGGGGUGGAGAAGAUCUGUCGUGGUUUCCUUUGGCGCGGAUAGAAGGACGCUAAAGGGGGGCAUUGUAUGGUGGCUUGGGAUGUGGUGUGUUCACCGAAGCCUUUUGGUGGACUCGGAAUCCCUAACCUUCACAUGCUCAACGAGGCCUUAAGGGUCUGUUGGAGGUGGCUUGAGAGGGUGGACGACUCCAAACCGUGGGUCGGCUUCAUGGUUGAGACGUCCAAAGAGGUUGAUGUUAUCUUUGAGGCGGCCACUUCCUCUCUGGUGGGCGAUGGCCGGAGGACUCUCUUCUGGACCGAUCGUUGGCUUCAUGGUGUCCGUCUUCGUGAUGAGUUCCCGAUUCUCGUGAGCCAUGUUCGUCCCAGGUUCUUGCGCACACGCACUGUGCGUGAGGCUCUGCAUGGGGCGUGGACUGGUGACGUGGGUCCGGACCUGGGGGAAGCCGCCCUUCGGGAGUUCUUCACUCUCUGGGACUAGCUUCGUGGGGUCCAACUGGAGGAGGGGAGGGCCGACUCUCUUCUCUGGAAUUGGUCUCGUGGUGGAAGCUACUCGGCGAAGACUGCUUACGCGAACUUCUUCGCUGGCCGCAUGGUUGAUCCGAUGGCGGAUGAGAUCUGGGGUUCACGGGCCCCAGAGAGGUGUCGUUUCUUCGCCUGGCUCGCAGUCCAGAAUAGAUGCUGGACGGUGGAUCGGCUUGUGAGACGUGGACUUCCCCAUCCCGACAAGUGCCCCCUAUGCGAUUAGGAGAGGGAAACCAUUUCCCAUCUUCUCUUGGGGUGUGGCUUUGCGCGGCAGGUUUGGGUGCGCUUGUGGACGGCUUGGGGACACGCGGAGUGGACUCCGAGCGCGGAUGCUACUCUGCGGGAAUGGUGGUGUUCUCUUCCCUUUCCGCGGCAAGCCUAGAGGGACUUCCGGACGGGGAUCAUACUUGUCCUUUGGACCAUUUGGAACCAUCGGAAUGAUGUGGUCUUGAAUGGAGCGUCGCCGUCCUUGUAGCUUGUCGUGCUUCGCCUCCAGGAGGAGCUUGGCCGGUGGGCGCACGCAUGACUCUUUAGGGAUAGGGUGUCGUGUCCGGCCUUGAUGGCGAGUGGUUGGAUAGGUAGCACGUAGUUCUUUUUCUCUUCUUGCCACUUGGUGGCGUUGUACUAGUCUUCUGACUCUUCUUUUUUAAUCGAUGAUGCACCCGCUGGGAGGCAUUCUUGGAAAAAAACAAAAAAAAACAAGUGUCCUAAAUGUUUAUGUAUUUUCUAUAAAAAAAUAAAAUUUAAAAUUUAUGAUGAUUUAAUACAAAGUUAGCACAUCUUAUAUUUAGAAAAAGGGAAUAGUACAAUAGAUUGAACAGACUGAAAAACACCAAUGACAGUGCAUAUACUUGACAAAACUUAAAGUUACACCAAAGACCUUCCUAAUAGACAUCUGUAACCCCACCAUCUGCAUAUUUCAUAUUCCUUCGAAUCCCUGGUGAUGAAAAGCACCUGCAAAACCCACGUAGACUAGACUAACCUCGUAAUUUAAAGAACUGCAUGAACCGUCCAUCAUAAUAGAUGAGAACUUGAGAUAGUUGAACGUCUAGUGGUCGGAGACACUGCCCUCACAAGACUGGAUGUCAAAUCUGCUUCAUCACCGAAUAAACAAGAAAGAUGAUCACAAGCACGAAAGUAUGAGGCAUGAGAUCCACUAGGUACAUGGAGUAGGUAGCAAUAAUCGUGCCACAACAUAGGUGAUUAAGGUACAUAAAACUUGUAAUUUACCAAAAUGCAAAAUCGUGACCCAUGGUUCUCCCACCUUCUCGUGUCGAACCGAUUAUCGGAGACUAUGAAUGCAACUGAAAUUGAACUGUUCUAUUUUCUAUACUAUAGAAACCACACCUGGAAGCACUGGUUCCACUUGGACCAAAUGAUUCCUACUUUUUGAAGAAUAAGAUGGGUAGACAUGUUGGGUGAUAUUCAUUUUUUGAGAAACCAUAUGGUUUCAUUCUAGUUUCUAUAUUCUAGAAACCAAGUACAUGAAUUAUCUCAUGUUUAAAACCAUUUCAUCACAUUCUACUAUGAACCGGUGGACCGAACGGCUAAUGUGCCUGCUUUCGGUAUCUCAAGCGGGUCAGCCCCGUCCUGCAAUUUGAAUAAUUGGGCCAAGAAUGCGUACACCCAAGACAACAUUGGCGUGUUUUUAUGCCGGCCCACAAAAUGUGCGUGAAAGCUAUCAAAAUAAGCCCAGGAGUCGGAGACUCCCCUAGUCCCCUGCGCAGUGGGCACUCACAGUUACCUUAUCGUCGCCGCUGGACGAACACCGAUGGCCGCGCCCCCGCCUGCAGCAGCAGCACCGCCUCCCGCCAUGUCCGCCCUCCCCACCUUCGCCUCCUCCCACCCUUAUCCGUCUCUCCCCACGACCAAACCCCUCACCCCCAACUCGCGGCUCAACUUCGCCCAUGCCGGCGUCGCCGCAUCUCCCAAUGCCGUCCCCCACCGCGCCGUCUCCAACGACCGCCUGCGAGGCCUCGUCCGCAGGGGAGACCUCGAAGAGGCUCUCCGCCUCGUCGAGUCCAUGUCCGGCCUCGAACCCUCCGCCGCCCCGGGGCCUUGCGCGGCGCUCAUCAAGAAACUCUGCGCGUCCGGGCGCACGGCCGAGGCCCGGCGCGUGCUGGCCGCCUGCGAGCCCGACGUCAUGGCCUACAACGCGAUGGUAGCUGGGUACUGCGUCACGGGGCAGCUCGACGCCGCUCGCCGGCUCGUGGCGGACAUGCCCAUGGAGCCCGACUCGUACACCUAUAACACGCUCAUCCGCGGCCUGUGUGGACGCGGCAGGACCGGGAACGCCCUUGUGGUGCUCGACGAUAUGCUCCGCCGAGGGUGUGUGCCCGACGUCGUCACCUACACCAUCCUGCUCGAGGCCACGUGCAAGAGGAGCGGGUACAAGCAGGCCAUGAAGCUUCUGGACGAGAUGCGUGCCAAGGGAUGCGCCCCAGACAUUAUCACCUACAACGUCGUUGUUAAUGGCAUCUGCCAAGAAGGACGGGUUGACGAUGCCAUCGAGUUCUUGAAGAGCCUGCCGUCGCAUGGAUGCGAGCCAAACACUGUUAGCUACAACAUUGUGCUGAAGGGCUUGUGUACUGCAGAGCGGUGGGAGGACGCCGAGAAGCUCAUGGCUGAGAUGAGCCAGAAGGGUUAUCCCCCAAAUGUGGUAACAUUCAACAUGCUCAUCAGUUUCUUGUGCCGUAGAGGAUUGGUUGAGCCUGCGAUGGAAGUUCUUGAUCAGAUCCCAAAGUAUGGGUGCACACCUAAUUCUUUGAGUUACAACCCAAUACUUCAUGCAUUCUGCAAGCAAAAGAAAAUGGAUAGGGCCAUGGCGUUUGUGGAAUUGAUGGUCUCCAGGGGCUGUUACCCUGACAUCGUUUCAUACAACACUCUUCUUACUGCGCUCUGUCGUGGUGGGGAGGUUGACGCAGCUGUUGAAUUGCUUCAUCAACUCAAGGACAAAGGCUGCACUCCUGUUUUGAUUAGUUACAACACGGUCAUCGAUGGCCUUACUAAAGCUGGGAAGACAAAGGAAGCUUUAGAGCUGCUGAAUGAGAUGGUAACCAAAGGGCUCCAACCGGAUAUAAUCACUUAUUCAACAAUAUCUUCUGGUCUUUGUCGAGAAGAUAGAAUUGAAGAAGCAAUUAGAGCAUUUUGUAAAGUGCAAGAUAUGGGCAUAAGGCCCAACACAGUGCUUUACAAUGCAAUACUUCUUGGACUUUGCAAAAGACGCGAAACACACAAUGCUAUCGACCUGUUCAUUUACAUGAUAUCGAAUGGCUGCAUGCCUAAUGAAUCAACUUACACUAUAUUGAUUGAAGGCUUGACUUAUGAGGGCUUGGUUAAGGAGGCACGGGAAUUACUGGGUGAGUUGUGCUCUAGAGGAGUUGUGAGUAAGGGUUUGAUAAAUAAGGCGGCCAUUAGGUUGCUUGAUGGAACUACACAUACUUAAAAAGGUUGAUCAGCAGUACCAUGUGGAUCCAGGAAUAUGUUUUUGUGCAUCAUCAUCGGCAGGACGGGUACUUCACUACACUUAAUGACAUCUUAAUUCAUGCUGCUAUCUUAUUAGCAUGUGAGUACCUUUCCUCAAUUCUGAACGCACCUUCUCCAAAUUUGAACUUGCUCGGAACUUGUACAGAUUUAUUAUCACUUCUUUAGUAUACUCUAUAAUAUUAUGAUAUCUUAUUUCUUUAGAACUGUUCUGAUUGGAAAGAUUUAUGGUUUGUUACAUUGCACAGACUAAAGAAAGGAAUCCAUUGGCACUCUAAUCUGAUUCAAACCACUUGCUCUGCAUUCUGAACUCCAUUACUACCAAAAUAAACAAGCCAAAUCCAAUGUUUAUGCUGUUUGUUCCGAUAAUUUUAGAUACCUCAAAUUUCUACACUUUGCCUGAAUACUUUUUUUUAUGCAAAGUUUUUCUUUUCUUCAUUUAACCAUAUACAAAUGUUCUGUUUUGCCUGCAUUUUACUUUCCUGUUUACCAGUUUAGGGCCUCUUUGAUUCUCAGGAUUCUGGAAGCACAGAAAACUGUAAAAACAGAUGAACGUUAUAGGAAUGCAUGGUCGAAACAGAGGAUUUCAAAACACCGGAGUUGAUGUUGUCUGAUUCAUAGGAUUGUAAAAAAGAGAUAGUGAUGGUCUGGUGGAUGCGUUAGGAAAAAAAUUAGAUCAUACGGCUCUGCCAAAUACCAGAGCCUCCCACAAAAAAAUACAGCAACCCAAGCAGGGCCUAAGGAUUGAAAAUUCUUUGAGUCACAGAGGCUGAUGGGACUGUCUCCAACUGAGGAAUUUGAAUUCCUGCCAGGAACUGCGAAAGAAACUUGCCCCAGCCAUAUAUUUAGUUUUGGGAUAGGGAACCAGUCACCACCUUAUGCAGUUGAUGUUCCUAGUAUAAUGUGAAACACUAUACUCACUUUGUGUUUGGAUUUAUAAGCAGUCACCACCUUAUGCAGUUGAUGUUCCUAGUAUAAUGUGAAACACUAUACUCACUUUGUGUUUGGAUUUAUUGCAGCAGUCAAAUACUAAGUAGCAGGUUUUUUGUCAGACCGCCAUACAAAACCCCGCUCAACCAGUGAUUCUCCAGUUUGCAUAUGCCAUUCAGUAACCCUGAUUUGUUCACAUAUGCAAGGCACAAGCAUUAGAGUAACAUGCAUAGCACUGAUCAACCUGAAGUUGUGACCCGUGCGUAAUGCAUGCUAUCACAUUCCCUUGGAGGAUACGUUUCUGUAUGUAAUAGAUUUUAUUUGCAAAUAGAUUUUGUUUAGGCAUAACCAGGCAACGAGUUUAUUAGUCUGGAGUCUGCGCCUUCCCAACUCUCGAAUGAAAACGAAAAAAAAUGUGAUUCCCUGGGUAACUACUUAUUUGUCAUGGCCAAGAGAACAAGUAAUCUCAAAUGAAGGGUAAUGGCUUUGGUAAUUUAAAUUUUCUAGAAAAAAGUGCAAGUUUUUUGUAUUACGUCUGUCCUUGACAGUCGUACCGAAUACUUUAGUUUCAAUCCUGUAAACAUCCGACAGAAUUUCAGUUCAGCAAUACUUUGCUCAAAUUGUAUUUAUACUGAUGUUGAUCCAAUACAAAAUGUAUGCAGGGCUGAUGAUAUGCUGUAACUGAAAUUGGUAUAUGAGGAUGCAUAAUUGAUACCUGAUGCCUAGACUUCGGCAUAUGAUGAGAAGUUUCUCCCUUUUUCCCAACUUGAGCUCAGAGAUUAAUUGAAACUUUCCUAGUGUAGAUUACAAUCCUGAUAACCACUGGGAAGCACAUGUAACAAAAAACUUUUAGGAUUCGCAAAAACACAAAACGUUUAGGCAGUGGUCGUAUUUAUCUACAUAACAGGAUGGAAGCAGAGUACAUAAAGAGAGAACAUUUUUUGUGCGAGUGUCCGGGGCCGCUAGGGCGCAUCUGUGGUGCCGGUGUGCAGGCAGGUUUUGUCUACUCUGCUGAAACGACACAAGUCGAAUCCGAGGGUGGAGUAUGUGGUUCUUGUCUAGAUUUCUCAGUGACUAAAUUUGUAAGAGGAUCGAGGAACCUUCCCUGGAAGAACGCCAGACGUGUGACAGGCUGCAGCAGGGAAGAACGCCAGACGUGUGACAGGCUGCAGCAGGGAAGAACGCCAGACGUGUGACAGGCUGCAGCACGCAGAGAUGUCUCAACUCACAACGUUCUCAUCCUUCGAGGCAUGGAAAUUCAUACACCCUUGCUAGAAUGGUCUCCAACUGCAGAUUGAUGUAAUGUUUAAGUACCCAGAAAUGAAUAAUCAGUGGUUUUGGUUUUAGGUUCCACAUCCUUAUCCAUAGAAGCAUCCCCUUGUAUCUCUGUUUUUCUGUAUGCAAUGCGCAAGUACCGCAACUAUCAAGAGAAACAGUCAAUUAGUUCCUUCUAGUAACUCCUUGCACUAGGCAUAAUUCUCAUACCAUUUUUGAACAUCUUCUAUCCAGGAUGGAGUUCCCGUAAAUGAUUGUCAUACUGUUGUCAUGUUUUCUGUACAGUAAACUCUGACAACUUAAACAUUAAACUUUGGUGAAUCCCCUUAGAGAUAUUUUCUUCCACAAUAAAUUUUCAACUCAUGAACAGUUUAGCCUAUGGAGUUCCCAGAUAGUUACAACUAAGGAAAAAAAUACAGCAAAGAGUGCAACAUGCAAUCCUUGCCAAGUUAUUGAGGAAGAGGAGCUAAACUUAGCUAAGGACCUUAAGGUACACAGCACAUGACAAACAAUAGCGUAUAUUAAUCCAUUACACCAGUCAGCAAAAUGCCUCUCUAUACGAAAAACCUGCAGUACCAAUGGAUCGAUCAGCGUCUGUUUUACAGAAAGCACGAAGAGUUGUUGAUAUUUGGAUCAAGGACGCACGUCUCCUUCCUCUGGGGUUAGGCAAUGAUCAGGAACACGGGGAACCAUGCGAGUUCACGCUUCUUUUCUACAUCCCUAGCACGGAAAUAAAUCCUUCUCGCCGGAUUGCUCAGGGUCUCGGCGCCUCGAUGGCAGGCCCAGCGGGUUUCUGGUUGAGAAGGGGCUGGAUUGCCUUCACGACAAUCGUCAUGUUCGGCCGGAAGUCAGAUUCGUACUGGACGCACAGCGCCGCCACUGCUGCUAGCUGAAAACAUGAAGAGAGGACCUCGGUGUGGUCUCAUGUUUUUAUAGUGUAUUUGCGUUGUCGGAUAUGCUACAGUGACAUACCUUGGCAACGGCUUUUGGAGGGUAGUCGUUGUUAAGCUUCGGAUCAACACACUGUUUCACUUUAUCUUCGCUCAACCUUGGAGUGGCCUGCCUCACAAGACCAACAAAUAUUGCCAUAAAUUUAAGACCGUUGCUAAAAAAAGAGUAAUAUGGAGGGUAGUAAAUGAGAUUUCAGUGCGGAAAUAUGGAGUGUACAAUACCCAAGUAACAAGACUUUGCUGCCCUUUCGGCAUGGUGUGAUCGACAGGUUUCCUUCCGGUCAGUAGCUCUAGUAGGAUCACACCGAAGCUGUAGACAUCGCUCUUUUGGUUAAUUUGCCCUGUCAUAGCAUAUCUGAAUAUUACCAAAAUCCAAACAACAAAUGUCAGUAAGGUAAGUACUGCAAAAGCAAAACUGACUGCACAAACUUGACAAGUAAUAAGACCAUCUGGUCUUACUCUGGAGCGUGGUAUCCGAAGGUUCCUAGCACACGAGUCGAGUGCAACCGAGCAGCGCUGUCAGUGCCCUGGUUCGUCAGGUUGAAAUCCGCAAUCUUGGAGCUGAACUCGUCGAAUAUUAGGACAUUGCUCGAUCGAAUGUCUCGAUGAACAAUAGACGGCUGGACUUUCUCGUGAAGGUACUCUAGCCCCCUCGCCGCUCCGUAAGCUAUCUUCACGCGCUGAGCCCAGUUGAGGACCGGCCCGGGUUCAGCGCCCUGCACUCCUUUCUUGCCUGCACUUGGCGGAGUAGCAGAAUUGGUAAACUGGAGUUAACAAUCUGUCUGCACUAAUUUAGCAUUCAACUUGGCAAAGGAAAAUUAUAGAGGAGACGCACCGUGCAAGAUGUUAUGCAAAGAACCCAUGGUCGCAAACUGAUAGGCUAGCAUGCGGUUGCCAUCCUCCAUGCAGUAGCCCACGAGUUCCAGGAAGUACUCGUUCUUAAGCUUGGAGACCAUCGCUAGCUAUGGCAAUGAGACGAGGAAGUAAUUAACCAAAAUAGCGAAUUGGAGGAAUUAACAGAAGGCGAUUUGUUGGAUCUUCAGUGCACGCACCUGAGCGGAGAAUUCAGCGUCGGAUUCCUGCGAGGUGCUGGAGUCGAGCUUCUUGAUGACGGCGGCGCGGCCGUCGCUGAGGGUGCCGUUGUAGACGCGGCCGUAGGAUCCCUCGCCGAUGAGGGAGCGAUCGCUGAAGUUGUUGGUCAUCUUGUUGAGCUCGUCCAGCGGAAUGGCCGGCACGUCGAUGUUGACCACCUUGGGCGGCCCACCGGGCCUCUGGGCGCCCGGCCCUCUCGGCCCGCCUCUGUUCCCUGCAUCGAUCAUGCAUCCACAACGCCAUCAGACCAAGAUCGAGCUCCAUAUCCAUAUGGGCACAAAUGAGAAGAAAAAUGGCGGCGAUCAUCGGACCGGGGUUAUUGACAUUGGGCGGCGGAGCGGCUUGGUUGGCCGGCGGGCCGUAGGUGUCCUCCUCGGCGCUGCCGCAGCAAGACAUUCUUGUUCCCGCCCGAGUGGAUGGCGCGCGGGGGUGUUAAUUUGGGGGGGACGGUCAGCAGAUCAUGUCGCAAGACCUGGAUUUACAUUGCCAAACAAAAGCCAAGGAUCCAUGAACGCCUUCUCUCACAAGAGCAAAAUGGCGAUUAUUUUGGCUAUCAGCCAAGGGAUCGAUCUUUGCUGGAUCCCCCAAUUAAUCCCCCCGAAGAUAAGAAAAUGGAUCGAAAACAACACAACCCAACAAUCGAUGCAUGCAAAAAUUAAUCACCAAACUAAUAAAUUGUGUUUGCGCAGCAUGAUGGCAUCUCAAUGUAUAUCAAUUACCUCCCCAAAAGGAACGAAAUUGCCACUCGAUCGAGGACGGUCGUCGGUGGAUCAAGAACACGGAAGAACAGCGGCUGUUUUGUUUUCCAGGGAAGAGAUUAAUGGUGGGGAAGGGUGGGAGCUCCCUUUUUUCGCGCCAAAGGAGGCUCCCGUCCAGUUUUAACUGUCCACGCAGACUUGUCGAUUUACUUGUGCUCCCGCCUUGUCCUAUUGUUAGCAUGCGCGCAGGAGAGUAUGCAUGGCAUGUUGUGUCAGUUACAUCGAUCUUGGGUGAGGGGCGUCACUGCAAAAUGAUAUCGUUCCUGGUGUUCUGUUUUUUUACGAGUUUUUCGAAAGAUGGAGUCGUGAGGCAUAAAAAAUGGUUCAGGCUGGCUUUUGGCCAUCCGUAGUUCGCCUUAAAAAAACACUUGUAAGGAAGAAACAUUCUGGCAAAAACUACGGGGAAAUCUUAAAUUAUUUACUGCAGUACAUGGAUUUGACGGAAUAAGCAAUUCUUCUACUCCCAUCUCCAUAUAUAUAGUGAAUUGUUCAGCAAUCUCGCUACUGAAAACCAAGUACUAACUCUCUUACAUUACAACAACAAAAAUUACAAAGUUAUAACCAGGAAGUCGAGUAAUGUUUGGGAACCAGAUAAGCACUCAUUCCAGACUAAAGAAAGUAUUCUGAAUGAGCUUUGUCGACCAUAUGAAUGGCCAAAGGUUGCCAACUAGUGACAAAUGGUUGGAUUUCUUCAUCGCUCCCUUCAACAAUUUGACACGAGGUCAACCUUUUUGUUUGCAAAUAUUGUAAUGUACUCUCCACUUGCUUCAUAGUAGGCCUUUCUUCUCCCUGGAGGCGCAAACACAUCUCUGCAAGGGAGGCAACGGUAUUAAUUUCAUCCUCAUUUGAUUCUUCAAGAACUUGAGCAGCCACCACCUCUCUUGCUGGCCUUACUUUGAUCUCUGAAAUAAAGUAAUUGGACAAGUUUUGCUUUGAACCUGCGUCGCUUAUGAAAAGAGGCUCUUUUCUUGUAAGUAACUCUAAGAGUACGACACCAAAACUAUAAACAUCACUUUUCUCAUUUAAUUGCCCAGUUUGAUAAUAUUCUGGAUCCAAGUAUCCAAAUGUUCCUUCUACAUUUGUAGUCACAUGAGUUUGGUCAAUAGGAACUGUUCUUGAAGCACCGAAAUCUGAAACUUUAGCAGUGUAAUUUCCAUCUAGCAAUAUAUUAGAGGACUUCACAUCGCGAUGAAAGACUGAUAUCGAAGCAGAUGUAUGUAGAUAACAGAGAGCCCCGGCAGCUUCUAGAGCAAUCCUCAAACAGUUGUCCCAGGAUAAAGAGAGUCUACUAACUGACUCACCAUGCAGAACGUCAAAUAAAGAACCAUUAGGGAUAAAAUCAAACACUAAGAGGGGCACCUCUGUUUCAAGACAACAUCCAAAUAGCUUCACAAUAUUUCGAUGAUUAAUCUGGGAGAGGAUCACAACCUCAUUAAUAAACUGAUUGAUCUCAGCUUCCUCGACAAGUUUCGACUUCUUUAUAGCCACCACACGUUGGUCAGACAAGAUGCCUUUGUAUACCAUGCCGUGCCCUCCACGGCCUACAAUACGAGUUUCAUCAAAGUUGUUUGUUGCUUUCUCCAACUCUUGUAAGGAGAAAAUCGCUGUCUCGUCACUUGCAUUUUCAUCCGAUGCUAUGAGUUGUUCCAAUAGAAGGCCCUGGUUUUUCCGGAAAAACAUCUUACGUUGUUGUCUUUUGAUACCUCUUUUCCAUCUGUAGAAGAGGAAUGUCCCGCUCGAACCAACAAGUAGCGGUCCCAAGCCGGCACUCAGUCCAAGGAUAAUACCUAUGAUGAGAUUGUGCUGUUUGGUUGAGGUGCAGCGCAUUCUAUUUGGGUCAUAUUUUGUUUUCCGAGGACAACAGAUGAAGCUUCCAAUGGUAUUGUGGCAGGUCCCGUCACAAUUUUGCUUAUCAAGACACUCGUCAACAUCUGCAGGUGAAGCAUAUCUUGGUAAGGGGCGAAAGAAAAAAUGUUCAAAAAAUUAUAUCCCCAGGGUAUGAAUAAUGUUUUUGACAAGGUUAGUAGAAUAUGGGUUCGAACCCACGGCCUAAAUCCCUAACCCUAUCCUCAGAAAUUCCCAAAUCUCCCCCCGCUCUCCUGAAGCAAGCGCUGCCCGUGCCGUUGGUGAAGGUGGCGACGCCGUUCCAGUAGUCGCCGCGGAAGCCAUCGACGUCGUUCGUGUGGAUGUCGAUGAAGCUGUCGUUCAAGUCGUCAUCGUCUACGCGGUUCCAUCUGCGAGGUGUGGGUGUUCCUGGCUGUGCCAUCGGAGAUCAUCAACGAUCGCCUCUGGCCCUUCUGUUCCGUCGCUUCGUCUCCCUCGGGCGAGGCGGUGUAACAGAGGAGGGCAAUGGCCCAACGGUCUAGCACACAAUGAGGGAGGAGGUUUUCUGAAUAAAUCAAACAUGCCGCCUCUUCGUAGCGCUGCCUGGACCGCGGGUUAUAUGCCAAAAAAUAACGGGGGGGGGGGGGGGGGGGUCAAUGAAAGAAAACAACAGCUGCAAAUUUGCAAAGAAGAACCCCCCCCCCCCCCGGCCACGUCAGAUGCCAGAGUGGCCUAAUUUAGCCCGAAUUCGUCAAUUUGGACUAAAAGUGAACCCACAUGCCAAGUUUAAGGGGCCGUUUUUCAAAUCCGCGAGUUUAUGGAUGAAAGUGAACAUCGCUGCCAAGUUUAUGGAUCGUGCAUGCAAUUUCCUUUUAUAAUUUUGAAGCUUGCUGAAAAUGUCUUGUUAACAGAUUUUGGUUGUUGCUUGAGGAGUUUAUGAUGCCAAUUCCGAGUGUUUGUCUCGUGGAAAUCCAUUACGGUCAAUGCCCUAAUAAGGGCUCGUUUUUCCGGUGAGGCACGAAACAGAGCUCAGCCCAAGCUUUUCUCGAGCUCGGUCAAAGCUCAGGUAGCUCGAUGAGCCCAGCAACAGCAGGCCACUGCCUUGUGAGCCAAGCUUCCCUGGAAGUAGGCGGCAGACCGAAGCAAGUUUUUUUAGAUGAUUGUCCCUGAUCCCAACUUUCAUUGAAACCAUGGUAGUCAAGUCAAACACUUGACCAAAACAAGUUUUGUCGCCACUGGAGGGAGCCGCCGGCAAGCCUGGCGCGGCGCCGAUGAAGGUGGCGGCGAGCACGCGUUUUUUGUGGUUGUUCUUCGGCGCCAUCACCGCCCCUGCCAGGUCCUUCAGAUCCGGCGAUGGUUGGGCCGGAUCCGUGCGGCGCUGUUCCAUGGUGUGGUCUGCCUCUGGUUGACGAAGCUGGGUUGUCCUCCUUCCGCGCACCUCCCCAAGCUCCUCCCCAUGCACCUCAAACCACUCCCGGCCAGUCAGUGGAGUCCCCACGGCCAGAUCCGAUGGUCUCGUCCCCGAAUCCAGCCUCUGCAAGGUCAAUAUCGGGAAGAGCUCCUCCACCCUCCUCUACCUCCUCCAGUCGUCCAUCCUCCUUGCCUCUCCUCGCUGUUGCCGACGGCGGUCGUCCGUGUCAUACCCUCUCCAAGUGCUAUAGCGGAUUAGAUACGUGUAGCAGGUUAGGUGUUGCUAUGGGCCACUGCGUGGGCUUUUUGUGUUGGGCCAAGGGCUGUGUAAUGUUGGAGUUGAGACCGAGUAUAAAAUCGGCUCUGUUGCCAGUUCGAAACCCAUCGAAGAAAUGAAAUAGAAUAUUCCCUAGCCUCUCUCUUCUUCCUCCUCACGCCACCUUUCCCCAUCUCUUGCGAGCGAUUCUUGGAUUACCACCGGCGGCGAUCCCUCACCGGUCGUGGGACAUCACGGUCCGGCAUGGCCCUGCGUGUCGUCUCCCUGUGCUUUGUUGCAUUGGGACCAUAUCCAUGGCCGCGGGGAGCCCUUGCGCGUCCUGCUGCUGCCGGCUCCCUUCUCCUUCAUCAUCAGUCGUCCUCCUCCGACUCUGCCUCUGUGCCCACCCCCAGUUCCUUGCCAUCUCCCAUUCCAUCCCCUCAACGCUCUGUCCUCUCCACCCUCCCCCUAAGAUCCAAUGAAAUUCAUUCUGGUGCUACACUGAUUUGGGAGAUGCUCUGCGCUCUCCUAUUGAGAAUCCAAUGAAAUUCAAACCGGAGAUGGUCGUGAUAGAGUGUCUGUGCUAGCUACGUUUUUCGGAUUUGACAAUUCGACCUUCCACCUUCGCCCCCAUCCAUAUGGUUGCUCUUCUGCAAUCUCCACCUUGCCGCUUUCAGGUAGCCGUUGCCUCCAUCAACUAGGUGUUGUAUGGCAUCCUUCAUCUACACUCAACGAGGCCUAAACCAUCCCUUUGUUGAGAUAAUAUCUCUAGUGAUACCCUUCGAUAUCAUGCCACUUUGUACCUUCUUCUCCCCAUCUUCCUUGGGAUGUGGCUCCCUUUUGGUGGAGUUUUUGUGUAUCUACUCAUGCAUGAUUGACGAGCUUGAAUCUUCCUUACGUUCUUCAGAUGCUCCCCCAAUUCCCCAGGGACAAUGCCAUCCUUCUGGUGGUGAGCACUUGGAAGCGUGAAUGUGGUGAGAGUGCAGCUCUUGUUGAUGCUUGGUGGUGGCUUUCCUUGGCUGCCGGUAUUGGUGUCACUUUUCUAUUGAGCUUCAUAUGCAAGCCCUGUAAUUUUUUACCUUUUCUUUUUGUUCUUCAAUGUGCUUGCUUUGGCAAGUUGUAAUGCUCAUCGGCCAAGAAUAAUAAGAUGACGUAAGCAGGCUCUAAGGAUUUAAAUAUUAUAUCUUUGCUUAGUUGGAGGAAAGAGAAAAGGAGAGAGAAGAGAGGUGGGCUACUAUCUAAUAGCCAGCUGCAGCACGUGCUCCUAGACACUUUAUGAGACUACAAUAUAGGCCUCCUUAUAACAAAGUAGUACAUUCUUGUAGCCACCUUAUUAUAUAUGCUAGCUAUAUGUUAGUUAAAGAUGACAUAACAAAAGUUUAUAGCCAGCAGCAAGCUAAACUAUUAAUCUUGCUCUUAAAAGGGAAGACCCCCACCCCCCCACACCCCCCCCCCCCCCGACGACCAAUCGGUAGGAAGUGUGCGUGAGUUCAGUAGGUCUAAGGGAUUGGAAAGGGCGAUCGUCAAAAGAGAAUUUGUUGAAAAUUUAGUAGGAAGAAAAAAAAUCCAUGUUUUGGUAUAUUGGAGAUUUCACAGAAAAAUACCUCCCUCUGCCCUUCCCAUCUCCAAAUGGCACGUUUUGCAAUCUUUAUAUAGGUCAAAACAAGUCGGCGUAUGUACACGUUCACAAAAUAUAUACCCCAGGCUGUCGAGAUCGAGUGACCGUGCUGAAACACUUUCAAAAGCUAUACUAUUGACCAUAAAUUUUAAAAGUCAAGGUGACUAAAGCGAACGUUGCUAUCAAGAACAGUGACCUCUUGUAUAUUUUACUCGUCUACAAAAUUCUCUUUCAAUUCCUAACUUCAGAGCUCGGCUAAUUGCUGGAUGCCAAGGUGUUACGUUUUGUGAGAUAGCUCACCACGCUUAAUUACCACUUGGUGAUGGCAUGUGGAGAUGGAAGUAGCAGAUGUUUUGUUACCUCCGCAUCCGUAUUGAAGGUAAGGAUUCCCUUGGUAUCCUUUGUCGCAUUUGCAGAUGUAGCCUCGUCCAAUGGGCGAGUCUUGGCAGACACUGUUGUUGCUAACGCAAGCAUACGACUCCGGCUUGGCGCGGACCACUGACUCACACGUCUCCCCGUCCAGGGUUCCAAUCGCCCAAUCCACCACCAGCGGCGCCUGCCUACCAUAGGCGUCGACGAACGCCGACGAAGUAAGGUAGGCCGUGGAGAAGGUGAAGUUGGACGCCUCAACCAGCGCCGCGUAGCUACAGCGGCGGCUGCUGCUGGUUGUGUUGUCCAUGUCCGCUGUAGUGGCCGCCGUGCCGAAGUUCUUGUCGAACCACACCCGGUAGUUCUCCAGCCCCCUGGGGAUCGCCGUCCGGCAGCAGCCUAUCCCCUCGCAGGAGCCGUUGGUCAGCACCCUAAGGUCGCCUCCCUUGCAGGUGGCCCCGCAAACGGCCGUGUAGGAGUUGGUGUCGUCCUGGUCGCCGAUGUACGCCAGGGUCUUGCAGCCGAGGACGGUGAACUUGUUGGCGGUGUCGGAGAGCCUGAAGAUGGCGCCCUGCAAGUCCAUGUUCGAGGGCGGGCUGUUGACCUCCAUACGGCCAGUGGUGGCGUUGUGGCAGUUUGAGGAGAUGUUGUUCAGCCACCGGACCUGGCCAUUCUGCAGAGAGAUGUCGAGCACCUCCUGGUUGAUGUAAUGCAGCCUCUUGCCACGGCCGCUCCCCCUGUCCAGGCAGGCCCGCUUGAAGCCUUGCCGGGCGUCAGCAAUUUGGCAGCCUAGCUCCAGGUCGAUGCCAAACGGGUAAGGGAUCUCCACUCAGCCGCAUUCCCUCGUGCAGUUUGCUGCAGGGUGGCGCCAACGCUCAAACGUCGGUCAGCUGGAACGCCGCCGUCACCGCUAUGGCUACUGCAGCUGCUAACAUGUCGAAAGCCGGCCACCAUGCAUGAUCUAGCGAUCGGUUUUCUUGCUAGUUGUAGCCUGCAGGUAGUCUGAAUAAUGUCGCCAUGGUAUACAGAUUCGUUUGAGACCGUGGCUUCCCGACCAGGAGAGUGGUUGAGAACAUAUUUGGACUGGUUCGUCUCGGUAUUCUUCCCAGCUGUAUCGUGUUUCCUGCCAAGAAAAGGCAGAAAGGAGAAUUAGUCCAUGCAAAACAAUGCUACAGAAAACAUGGUGCGACAUAUUCAACGGGGGAGACUGACAUGCAUCAGGUGUAUGCGCAUACGCAGGGAUGUUUAGCCACUCCAAUCAUCCCGGCUCCGUGAUUUCCAGAAAAAUGGGCUAAGCCCCACGACUGGAGAACCAAUGGGCCAGGCCCAUUUGGGGGCAGGGGUCCAGCCCGCAUACACGCAGAGCGAUUUCCUCAAAAUAAAAAUAAUAGAAUGUACGGGUACCAACUAGCAAGAAAUUAGUAAAUUUAGGAUAUACGCGUAGGCCGGUGGGCGUAGCUUUUCCUAUACGCGACGUAACUGGCCAACUCUCGUAUAAUAUACGUAUUUCUAUCGUAUCCGUACCGGCGUACCCACACAACCGAUCUCUCCUCUCCGGCUCUCCGCCUCUCCCCCAUCUCGCGAAAGCAAACCCUAAAAUUCCUCUCGCGACCCAAUCUCCUGGUCAUGGCGGCCUCCGUCCUGCGCGAGGACAGCAACGGGAGCCCCAGGACGCUCCGUCUCUUGGCCUCGCUCGUGGAGGCCGAGUCCCGCCGCUUCGCCACCGCCGCCUCCGAACCCGCCGAGAACGACCCCGUCCGGGCGUUCCGCGGCGGCGCGACCCCGAGCGUUCCGAUCGGGGAAUUCCUGGAGCGCCUCCAGCGCUGCUUCCGGUUGUUCGACGGCAGCGUCUACGUCUACGCGGGGGCGUACCUCACCCGCUUCAUGCGCAGCCCGCCCGCCUGCGACGCGGGGAUCGUCCUCGAGCCGACCACGGCGCACCGCCUCGUCUCCGUCGCGGUCCUCCUGGGCGCCAAGUUCAUCAGCCCUAGGCACUACGAGAGGCGGGUGGAGACGUUCGAGAUCUGCUCGGACCGGUCGAUCCGAGCGAGCGAGAUGUGCCCGCUCGAGAAGCUCGUCCUGCGCGCCGUCGACUACCGCCUCUUCAUCAGCGUCGAUGAAUUUCAGUGGUUCUUUAGGAUCUUGGAACGAGGGCCGCCUGCUCCGGAGAGCUGCGGAUCCAGGAAGAGGAAGGCGGAGGCGGCGGCCGGCGGAGAGGAGGAGUCCCGCAGCGUCCGGGCUUGCCGGCCGCCCGUCGUGGGGUCCUAGGGUUUCGAGUUAAGUUCUUUAAUUCCCCGUUAAUUGCAUCUUUUGUUCGAUUUCUUUCUCGCGUCGAUCGUUCCCUCUUAUUUCUUGCAUCGCAUCCCGUCAAUUAGUUUCUCGCAUUUCGUUUCUUGCAUCAUAUCUUUGCCCUUGCAUCGUCCAGUAGAUUUCGCUUCGGAUUUGAGCAUUCAAAAGAUUACGUUCUUGCGUUUCAUCUUAUCACGUAGAUGGCGAUUGGUUUCGUUUUGAAUUGCAGCAACCAGUAGAUUUGGUUCUUGCAUUUAAUCAUUCCGUAGAUUGUGUUCCUGCACUGCAUCGUUCCGUAGAAUUCGUUCUUGCGCUAUUAAUUGCCACUGCAUCCCCCGUAACCCGUUAAGACUUCGUUCCUGCUUUGCAUCAUCUGUUUUUCUUGGUAAUUCGUUUCCUUUCUCUACUCUUCUGUUGUUUUUGCUUUUUGAUCGCAGGUAGUAGAGGAAGGGAACCGCAGCGCUUUAGAUUUUAGGGGCCAACGCUCGAGUUCGAAGAUGAAUGAUCAAUGACGUCCCUCUCAGAUUCAGCUGUUCUUUGUGAUGUCAUUCUGAAGAGCAUUUUGAGAUACGUGGCUUCAGAUCACAGUCCAAUGGCAUCGGAGCAACAGAUGCUGGUAGAGUGGAGUCUAGUCCUAGUGUUCUCUUCUACUAGUAGGUCUUAGGUCAGUCGAUUGUAAUUCUUUUGUUUCUGACCGUAGAGUCUUAGUCUUACUCGUAGUCUUAGGUCUUAGGAAUUCUCAUGUAUGGUUUCAGUAUCAAUAAAGAGUAGUAUUUAGGAAGUAUGGUCUUUUGUAUCUUGGAAGUUCUAACGCUCAAUCCAUGAUAGCGCGCUUCCUCCUGCU
This 18070-nucleotide long non-coding RNA is filed under the name Brachypodium distachyon (stiff brome). Its description in RNAcentral is "long non-coding RNA (BDIS_LNC003892)". Lineage: Eukaryota; Viridiplantae; Streptophyta; Magnoliopsida; Poales; Poaceae. The record is from RNAcentral.